UACGGGGGGGGCAAGCGUUGUUCGGAAUUACUGGGCGUAAAGGGCUCGUAGGUGGCCAACUAAGUCAGACGUGAAAUCCCUCGGCUUAACCGGGGAACUGCGUCUGAUACUGGACGGCUUGAGUUUGGGAGAGGGACGCGGAAUUCCAGGUGUAGCGGUGAAAUGCGUAGAUAUCUGGAGGAACACCGGUGGCGAAGGCGGGUCUCUGGGCCGAUACUGACGCUGAGACGCGAAAGCGUGGGGAGCGAACAGG
This 253-nucleotide ribosomal RNA is filed under the name uncultured bacterium. RNAcentral's name for it is "partial 16S ribosomal RNA". It matches the Rfam family "Bacterial small subunit ribosomal RNA", at positions 524 to 776 of the family's 1533-position model. The record is from RNAcentral.